CCUACGGGUGGCAGCAGUGAGGAAUAUUGGUCAAUGGUCGGGAGACUGAACCAGCCAAGCCGCGUGAGGGAGGAAGGUACAGAGUAUCGUAAACCUCUUUUGUCAGGGAACAAAGACUGGGACGCGUCCCCGGAUGAGUGUACCUGAAGAAAAAGCAUCGGCUAACUCCGUGCCAGCAGCCGCGGUAAUACGGAGGAAGCGAGCGUUAUCCGGAUUUAUUGGGGUUAAGGGGUGCGCAGGCGGUCUGUUAAGUCCGAGGUCAAAGCCCGGGGUCCACCCCCGGCCCGCCGUUGAAACUGGCAGUCUCGAGUUGGAGAGAAGUAUGCGGAAUGCGCGGUGUAGCGGUGAAAUGCAUAGAUAUCGCGCAGAACUCCGAUUGCGAAGGCAGCAUGCCGGCUCCACACUGACGCUGAGGCACGAAAGCGUGGGUAUCGAACAGGAUUAGAUACCCCUGUAGUC
Molecule: ribosomal RNA, 459 nt
Filed under: uncultured bacterium
Lineage: Bacteria
Description: partial 16S ribosomal RNA
Rfam family: Bacterial small subunit ribosomal RNA
Source: RNAcentral